GAUGAACGCUGGCGGCGUGCCCAAUACAUGCAAGUCGAGCGAACAGACGAGGAGCUUGCUCCUCUGACGUUAGCGGCGGACGGGUGAGUAACACGUGGAUAACCUACCUAUAAGACUGGGCUAACUUCGGGAAACCGGAGCUAAUACCGGAUAAUAUAUUGAACCGCAUGGUUCAAUAGUGAAAGACGGUUUUGCUGUCACUUAUAGAUGGAUCCGCGCCGCAUUAGCUAGUUGGUAAGGUAACGGCUUACCAAGGCAACGAUGCGUACCCGAACUGAGAGGGUGAUCGGCCACACUGGAACUGGGACACGGUCCAGACUCCUACGGGAGGCAGCAGUAGGGAAGCUUCCGCAAUGGGCGAAAGCCGGACGGAGCAACGCCGCGUGAGUGAUGAAGGUCUUCGGAUCGUAAAACUCUGUUAUUAGGGAAGUACAAAGGUGUAAGUAACUAUGCACGUCUUGACGGUACCUAAUCAGAAAGCCACGGCUAACUACGUGCCAGCAGCCGCGGUAA
Molecule: ribosomal RNA, 513 nt
Filed under: uncultured bacterium
Lineage: Bacteria
Description: partial 16S ribosomal RNA
Rfam family: Bacterial small subunit ribosomal RNA
Source: RNAcentral